ACGAACCGUACGAACGUUAUUCGGAAUUACUGGGCUUAAAGGGUGCGUAGGCUGCGCGGAAAGUUGGGUGUGAAAUCCCUCGGCUCAACCGAGGAACUGCGCCCAAAACUACCGUGCUCGAGGGAGACAGAGGUGAGCGGAACUUAGGGUGGAGCGGUGAAAUGCGUUGAUAUCCUAAGGAACACCCGUGGCGAAAGCGGCUCACUGGGUCUCUUCUGACGCUGAGGCACGAAAGCUAGGGUAGCGAACGGGA
This 253-nucleotide ribosomal RNA is filed under the name uncultured prokaryote. Its description in RNAcentral is "partial 16S ribosomal RNA". It matches the Rfam family "Bacterial small subunit ribosomal RNA", at positions 525 to 777 of the family's 1533-position model. The record is from RNAcentral.